This is a long non-coding RNA of Oncorhynchus masou masou (cherry salmon), 2035 nucleotides long. RefSeq lists it as uncharacterized. The record is from RefSeq and is a predicted model, not a curated record. Lineage: Eukaryota; Metazoa; Chordata; Actinopteri; Salmoniformes; Salmonidae. The transcript is spliced from 2 exons.
CCCCCCCAUGUAAUCUUAUUGCUUCUGAUCUGAAAGGCUAAACUGAUCCUUCAGCAGGUCUAAACUGAUCCUACAGCAGAUCAGCAGGUCUAAACUGAUCCUACAGCAGAUCAGCAGGUCUAAACUGAUCCUACAGCAGAUCAGCAGGUCUAAACUGAUCCUACAGCAGAUCAGCAGGUCGACUAUGAGAUGCUUUAUAAAUAGACGGGCCUAGAUUGUCUUUGUAAAUUAACCUUUAAGUGUUUCAUCGAUAUCAGACCUGUGAUGUUUUGUAUCCAGUUCGUGUUUCUGUCUCCUGCUGUGUUAGUCGUCAGUCUGGCAGGGCAGUCUGGCAGGGCAGCCGUGUCGUUCCCCCUGUUUUUAGAUGAGUCGGUAGUACAAUACAAUACAACAGUGUUUGCAUAUCAACAACUUACUUUUCAUAAACUCCCCUCAAACAAAAGCAAAUUCCUCCGGAGAAUGAAAGCAGCAUAUUAGGAUAACAUUGAGUUAGCAUUUUUUUUUUUUUUUUGUAAACAUUAAGUUAUGAGCUGUUUCAAAAUGAAGUUGUGAUUCAAACUGAAAAUAUGUCAAAAGUGGUGUGUUUGUUUUGAUGGUCCAGAUGAAAAUAUUUGGCCUAAAAACACGUAUAUAAAUAUUGACCUGAUGAUGAGACUGUUUUUAUAUGAAUGAUGUGCUUUACAUACUGAUUAGUGCUGCUACGCUAAAUGUUUCUUUUCUUUUAUUUGUAAUCAUCACACUGACCUCAAGGGUUGGUCUGAUCUAGUUGGCUUUAGGACGGGUGUUUAUGGGUUGGACAUACAGGGGGUCGGUUUCCCAGACCCAGGUUAAGCUUAUUCCUGGACUGAAAAACACUUCUAAUAAAAUAAAAAAAUCUCAAUUGAGAAUGCUUUUUAUUUUUAUUUAGAAGUGGCUUUAACCUUUGUCUGAGUAAACAGACCCAAACUGUAGCAUCCUGUUUAGUCCUGACUUCUAUUUUAGUCAAAUAUUCCCAUUGACAUCAAUGCAAGCGGAUGACGAUCCUCCCUUUCAAAUAUUCCCAUUGACAUCAAUGCAAACUGAUGACGAUCCUCCCUUUUCAAAUAUUCCCAUUGACAUCAAUGCAAACUGAUGACGAUCCUCCCUUUUCAAAUAUUCCCAUUGACAUCAAUGCAAAUGGAUGACGAUCCUCCCUUUUCAAAUAUUCCUAUUGACAUCAAUGCAAGCGGAUGACGAUCCUCCCUUUCAAAUAUUCCCAUUGACAUCAAUGCAAACGGAUGACGAUCCUCCCUUUUCAAAUAUUCCCAUUGACAUCAAUGCAAGCGGAUGACGAUCCUCCCUUUCAAAUAUUCCCAUUGACAUCAAUGCAAACGGAUGACGAUCCUCCCUUUUCAAAUAUUCCCAUUGACAUCAAUGCAAACUGAUGACGAUCCUCCAUUUUCAAAGAAGACGCCCUUGAGGAACAGAUGAUUGAAUAUGUACAUGUACCUCAUUGUUGUUGAUGAAUUAGCUGAUUUUUCUAGGUGGUGAGUAAGACCUGUGGAAACAAAAAUCCUUUAGAGAUCUCAAAGGAAGUUAGUUUAAACUCGGCUGCAAUAAUUUAGUGACAAAAUGAAACGACUCACCUCACUUGUCAUGGUUUUAAAAUGUUUUUCUCUGACCUGUGUCAUAUAUAUGGAGCUGUACAGCUUUAACAUAACAGUGGAGAACUCCCAGCCAAUAGUAUCAGCCUCUCAGGGUUGAAGGUCACUGAUAUGCAAAUGAGCUGUAUGUUCCUGUUUAGAAUUGUGCCUGCGUGCACCCUGUUGUUUCACCAUGCUUCUGUAUUGAUAUCAAUUUAAAAGUAGUAGCACGUCAUUCUCCAUUGUUGUCAAGUUCAUUCUACCGCGCCAUCAAGAGCACAACAACCUGUAUGUACAUAGGUGGUGACAAACUGUUCCCUCUGAUUGUUUUGACAUGUGUAUAUAAUAUUGUUUCUAAAUCACUAUUUAACCCUCUAUGAUGUUACAUCUCCUAGUUUCCAUUGUACAUAGGAAAAUAAAACUGUUAAACAAAA